GAUGGUUCUUAGGUUCACCUUGCUGAUGGGUUUCAGGUUCUCUAAAACCUUACAAUUUCUGGUCUCCAAGAAGGGGGUGAUAUCAUUGGAUCCGUGGAGAGUAUUAGAGUAGUAGUUCUGGUGCAUCUAAUGUGGGACACCAGCCUGUCCAGAAAUUUUACAUGAUUGUAGUUGUUGUAGAUUCAUCAAAUCCAAGCUCUGGCACACUUUAUUAUUGGACAGGAAGAACAUACACACUGCCGGUUCAAAGUAUUCAAACAAAUUAGUUCACCUGGUAUUCAACAAUCCGAGGGAGCAGCCUUUUACCAUUGAGUAGAUAAAUGAAGUUCGAGAAAAGUUGGCAAAUUUCAUUACCAUUUAUCGUCUUUGAUAUUUUCUUGUAGUGAAUCUUAGAUUAUGGAUGCUAGUUUUUCAUAGGAUUGUAAUGUAAUCAAUUUUUAUAUUUAUAAUUAUAUACUAUU
Long non-coding RNA from Spinacia oleracea (spinach), 461 nucleotides. RefSeq lists it as uncharacterized. Lineage: Eukaryota; Viridiplantae; Streptophyta; Magnoliopsida; Caryophyllales; Amaranthaceae. The transcript is spliced from 3 exons. The record is from RefSeq and is a predicted model, not a curated record.